RNAcentral lists this transfer RNA (74 nucleotides) under Candidatus Saccharimonadota bacterium. RNAcentral describes it as "tRNA-Gln". It matches the Rfam family "tRNA". Rfam says of the family: Transfer RNA (tRNA) molecules are approximately 80 nucleotides in length. Their secondary structure includes four short double-helical elements and three loops (D, anti-codon, and T loops). Lineage: Bacteria; Candidatus Saccharimonadota. The record is from RNAcentral.
UGGGGAUUGGCCAAGCGGUAAGGCACCGGGUUCUGGUCCCGGGAUCGGGGGUUCGAAUCCCUCAUCCCCAGCCA